GAUGAACGCUGGCGGCGUGCCUAAUACACGCAAGUCGAGCGAACGGACGAGAAGCUUGCUUUUCUGAUGUUAGCGGCGGACGGGUGAGUAACACGUGGAUAACCUACCUAUAAGACUGGGAUAACUUCGGGAAACCGGAGCUAAUACCGGAUAAUAUUUUGAACCGCAUGGUUCAAAAGUGAAAGACGGUCUUGCUGUCACUUAUAGAUGGAUCCGCGCUGCAUUAGCUAGUUGGUAAGGUAACGGCUUACCAAGGCAACGAUGCACAGCCGACCUGAGAGGGUGAUCGGCCACACUGGAACUGAGACACGGUCCAGACCCCUACGGGAGGCAGCAGUAGGGAAUCUUCCGCAAUGGGCGAAAGCCUGACGGAGCAACGCCGCGUGAGUGAUGAAGGUCUUCGGAUCGUAAAACUCUGUUAUUAGGGAAGAACAUAUGUGUAAGUAACUGUGCACAUCUUGACGGUACCUAAUCAGAAAGCCACGGCUAACUACGUG
RNAcentral lists this ribosomal RNA (497 nucleotides) under uncultured bacterium. RNAcentral's name for it is "partial 16S ribosomal RNA". It matches the Rfam family "Bacterial small subunit ribosomal RNA", at positions 28 to 507 of the family's 1533-position model. The record is from RNAcentral.